UUUUAUUAUUAUUAUAUUAUUGUAUUUUAGCCCAGCGCCGUACCCACCGUGUGCGCACCACAUGGAACGUAUAUAAUAUAACAUUAAAGAAAUUCGUGUCGACAAAGCAAAUCCAUACACUUUGAAACUAAGAACAUCAUUUAACAAUACGGAUUACCAAAUAGUAAAGGUGAGGAGAGAAACAUGCAAUAGCAAUUUCAACAGUAUGGAACUUAAAAAAGCUUACGACUGUCCACCUGAAAUAAGUGCAGAGAAAAAAUCUGAUUUGCUAGAAUUGUCUGGCGUGGCAGUGCGAAUGUGCGAUCAAAUAAACUCGGUCAAAGGUCAAUGUAUAUUUAGAAAACCGUACUGCGUACACGUCGAGGGACUUCACUCGAACGCCAACACCGCACAGGAAUAUACGGACUACAGACACACAUAAAAACGCACACGCACGAAUUAUAUCUGUAUUUAAUACGAACGUAACGGUUAUGCGAAAAAACUCGUCGGAAAAAUGCGCGUAUACCGCGAUAAAUAAAUCGGCAUGGUA
RNAcentral lists this long non-coding RNA (529 nucleotides) under Rhopalosiphum maidis (corn leaf aphid). RNAcentral's name for it is "uncharacterized LOC113554390, transcript variant X1". The record is from RNAcentral. Lineage: Eukaryota; Metazoa; Arthropoda; Insecta; Hemiptera; Aphididae.